Long non-coding RNA from Asparagus officinalis (garden asparagus), 471 nucleotides. RefSeq lists it as uncharacterized. Lineage: Eukaryota; Viridiplantae; Streptophyta; Magnoliopsida; Asparagales; Asparagaceae. The transcript has 3 exons. The record is from RefSeq and is a predicted model, not a curated record.
GCUUGGAAGAAAAUGAUAUCUUCAAGGAUCAUCGAGCCUCUGUGCUGUUUUUGUCUUUGUGACUGCCGAAUACCAAACUCCAAAGAAUUCGCUUAACCAGGAAAAUGCACUAUGAACAUGCUGUAUUUAUUGAACGUGUUCGAUAGGCUUCAAAAAAGGACAGGAUGAAGAUGAAGUUUUCUUAAACAAUUUGCACUUGUGUUUUAUGUCAUUAAUUAGUAUUGAAACUUCAACGUUGUAUUUGUUACUUGUAAUAAUAUUUUUCGAUAUUGUGAUUAUAUGAUGAGUAUUGUUCGAUAUUGUGGAUUGAUGAAUGAGUAUUCAUUUGGGAUAUGAAUGUAUAUCAUGGUUGAUUUUAUGAAAUAUUGUUAUUGGAUUGAUGUCGAUAUAGGCUAUAUGUGUAUUCUCGUAUGGGAGGCUACCAGAAAAUCAAAAUUUUUUUUGCGUAAAUAUAUACAUUGGCGACAGAUU